RNAcentral lists this ribosomal RNA (253 nucleotides) under uncultured bacterium. RNAcentral's name for it is "partial 16S ribosomal RNA". It matches the Rfam family "Bacterial small subunit ribosomal RNA", at positions 524 to 776 of the family's 1533-position model. The record is from RNAcentral.
UACGUAGGGUGCGAGCGUUAAUCGGAAUUACUGGGCGUAAAGCGUGCGCAGGCGGUUAUGCAAGACAGAUGUGAAAUCCCCGGGCUCAACCUGGGAACUGCAUUUGUGACUGCAUGGCUGGAGUGCGGCAGAGGGGGAUGGAAUUCCGCGUGUAGCAGUGAAAUGCGUAGAUAUGCGGAGGAACACCGAUGGCGAAGGCAAUCCCCUGGACCUGUACUGACGCUGAGGUGCGAAAGCGUGGGGAGCAAACAGG